This 421-nucleotide long non-coding RNA is filed under the name Volvox carteri. RNAcentral describes it as "long non-coding RNA (VCAR_LNC000632)". Lineage: Eukaryota; Viridiplantae; Chlorophyta; Chlorophyceae; Chlamydomonadales; Volvocaceae. The record is from RNAcentral.
CGAUUUGCUCACCUACCCAUCCAUAACCACGGAACCACACAGCGUACAGUGCUCACCAUAGUUGCAUUGACUUCGUGAAUGUUGAGCUUGGGUGAGUAUGUGGCGGUAAGGGCGGCAUCGCCACUCUUGGGAACCCUCACGGCGAUGUAGAGGUUCUUAGCAAGCGUGUUGUUGCUGUAGGUGGGCAGCCAGUCGGGCACCACUCGCAGGUAGUUGCCGUCGCCAGUGAGGUAGGUGGCGGGCAGGGCAAAGGCAAGUGCGGAACCUGGAGCAAACGAAGCAGAGCUGAUGGCCCCGCCGCCUGGUGCGGGUGUGGCCCAGCCCAUGCGAGAGAUCUCGGCGGCGUUGGGGCAGGCGUCACCACGGCCCAUGGCGGUCGAGUAGUCCUCGUACUCCCAGCCGUUCUGCCAGGAGUGCCACA